RNAcentral lists this ribosomal RNA (165 nucleotides) under Disterigma rimbachii. RNAcentral's name for it is "5.8S ribosomal RNA". The stretch from base 1 to 123 matches the Rfam family "5.8S ribosomal RNA", at positions 34 to 154 of the family's 154-position model. From Rfam's summary of the family: 5.8S ribosomal RNA (5.8S rRNA) is a component of the large subunit of the eukaryotic ribosome. It is transcribed by RNA polymerase I as part of the 45S precursor that also contains 18S and 28S rRNA. Lineage: Eukaryota; Viridiplantae; Streptophyta; Magnoliopsida; Ericales; Ericaceae. RNAcentral also lists the same sequence under 1 other name. The record is from RNAcentral.
CGAUGAAGAACGUAGCGAAAUGCGAUACUUGGUGUGAAUUGCAGAAUCCCGUGAACCAUCGAGUCUUUGAACGCAAGUUGCGCCUGAAGCCAUUAGGUUGAAGGCACGUCUGCCUGGGCGUCACGCAUUGCGUCACCCACUCCCCCCCGUGUCCCAAGUGGGCAC